CAACAUUGAUAAUAAUCAGAAAUGUUUCUUGAGCAGCAAAUCAGCAUAUUAUUAUGAUUUCUGAAGAUCGUGUGACACUGAAGACUGGAGGAAUGAUGCUGAAAAUACAGCUUUGAUCACAGAAAUAAAAUACAGUUUACUAUAUAUUCACAUAGAAAACAGUUCUUUUAAAUUGUAAUAAUAUUUCAAAUUUUUUACCGUAUUUAUGAUCAAAUAAAUGCAGCCUUGCUCAGCAUUCUUUUAAAAACAUACUGUUUUUUUAACACAAUGGUAUAACUAUGGCAACACAAAUGUGACAUGCAAUGGUGCUUUUAUGUUACCAAAAAGGUUUAAUCUCUUAUAUAAAUAGAUUGCAUAAUUGCUAUUCUAUUGUGUUGUUUUCCUAACGCAUUAUUGUGUUUUAUAGUAGCAGCUCUUUUGAGUGGGUGUCAGAUUUCAUAUCGUCACUGUUGCAUGGCAACCUUUAAAAACUCAAGCUGUCACUAACAGCACUGAAGCCUCUUCAUUCACUAUUCAAUGGAAAAGCAAAUGUACCAUUAUGCAGAAAAAUGUCUGCCUCGAAAAAAGAAGGUUUGGGAGUCUUUCCAUUCGAACACCUUCAGGAUCUUUGAUGAGACGUUGCCAGAGCGUCUCGAUCCGGUCCGUGUCGAUCGGAACCAUAAAUAUCCUGCAAGAGACCCACGAGAGUCUGAGACCUGCAACGUCCCACAUCCUCACAACGCCAGAUUCAUCAGAACUAAUGUCAGAUUCCUUAAUGAGCCCAUCGCUCAUAUGGAGACGAGACGUACUGAGACAGAACAGUUUAACUGGUGGUCAAGCAGUCCUAAAGAAGAUCUUCCCGUGAAAGCACCUUACAGUAAAUCCAGCACUCAGAGAAGUGAUUUCCAGGCGAUCAGAGGCGCUCCAGUCAGAGAACGAGAGACCAACAGACCCGCAGCCACUGGAAUCGCGUCACAGAGGGUUGGUGUGGAGAGACGGGGAGGCGACGGGGCCAGGCACAUUCCAGAGCACAGAGGGGUUGCGUUUGCCCUCAGCAGGGACGGCCGACCUGUUGAACUGCUCUCAGCUGGCCUCGCUUUCAGCUCAACAGAUGUGGGAGAGAAAAGAGGCCCGUCCCAGCAGAGAGACCCCAGAGAUCAGCGUUCCCAGAGACGGAGGGGAAUCCCUUUCGUUCGGGUGGGACAGCGAACUGAACUCAUAAGAGCAUGUCCAGAUCAUAUUUCACCUCAAAACCAAAAGGAAAAAAUUUGGUUAUUUUCAUGAAGCACGUAUU
RNAcentral lists this long non-coding RNA (1273 nucleotides) under Sinocyclocheilus grahami. RNAcentral's name for it is "lncRNA (ENSSGRG00000053479.1)". Lineage: Eukaryota; Metazoa; Chordata; Actinopteri; Cypriniformes; Cyprinidae. The record is from RNAcentral.